AGAGUUUGAUCAUGGCUCAGAACGAACGCUGGCGGCAUGCCUAAUACAUGCAAGUCGAACGAGCCUAGCAAUAGGCGAGUGGCGGACGGGUGAGUAACGCGUGGGAACCUGCCCUUGAGUGCGGGAUAACCGAGGGAAACUUCGGCUAAUACCGCAUACGCCCCGGGCAACUGGGGGAAAGAUUUAUCGCUCGAGGAGGGGCUCGCGUCGGAUUAGCUAGUUGGUGGGGUAACGGCCUACCAAAGAAUAUACCGUAGCUGGUCUGAGAGGAUGAUCAGCCACACUGGGACUGAGACACGGCCCAGAUUCCUACGGGAGGCAGCAGUAGGGAAUAUUGGACAAUGGGGGCAACCCUGAUCCAGCAAUGCCGCGUGGUGAUGAAGGCCUUAAAUGUAAAGCUCU
Molecule: ribosomal RNA, 402 nt
Filed under: uncultured forest soil bacterium
Lineage: Bacteria
Description: bacterial SSU rRNA
Rfam family: Bacterial small subunit ribosomal RNA
Source: RNAcentral